CCUACGGGCGGCUGCAGUGGGGAAUAUUGGACAAUGGGCGAAAGCCUGAUCCAGCCAUGCCGCGUGUGUGAAGAAGGCCUUCGGGUUGUAAAGCACUUUCAGUGGGGAAGAAAGCCUUGGGGCUAAUACCCUCGAGGAAGGACAUCACCCACAGAAGAAGCACCGGCUAACUCCGUGCCAGCAGCCGCAGUAAUACGGAGGGUGCGAGCGUUAAUCGGAAUUACUGGGCGUAAAGCGCGCGUAGGCGGUCUGAUAAGCCGGUUGUGAAAGCCCCGGGCUCAACCUGGGAACGGCAUCCGGAACUGUCAGGCUAGAGUGCAGGAGAGGAAGGUAGAAUUCCCGGUGUAGCGGUGAAAUGCGUAGAGAUCGGGAGGAAUACCAGUGGCGAAGGCGGCCUUCUGGACUGACACUGACGCUGAGGUGCGAAAGCGUGGGUAGCAAACAGGAUUAGAUACCCCAGUAGUC
This 465-nucleotide ribosomal RNA is filed under the name Vreelandella stevensii. RNAcentral's name for it is "partial 16S ribosomal RNA". It matches the Rfam family "Bacterial small subunit ribosomal RNA", at positions 338 to 795 of the family's 1533-position model. Lineage: Bacteria; Pseudomonadati; Pseudomonadota; Gammaproteobacteria; Oceanospirillales; Halomonadaceae. The record is from RNAcentral.